CCUACGGGCGGCAGCAGUGAGGAAUAUUGGUCAAUGGACGGAAGUCUGAACCAGCCAUGCCGCGUGCAGGAAGACGGCUCUAUGAGUUGUAAACUGCUUUUGUACAAGGGUAAACCUGAAUACGUGUAUCCAGCUGAAAGUACUGUACGAAUAAGGAUCGGCUAACUCCGUGCCAGGCGCCGCGGUAAUACGGAGGAUCCAAGCGUUAUCCGGAUUUAUUGGGUUUAAAGGGUGCGUAGGCGGAUUGUUAAGUUAGAGGUGAAAUGUCCGGGCUUAACUCGGGAACUGCCUCUAAUACUGUCGGUCUAGAGAGUAGUAGCGGUAGGUGGAAU
RNAcentral lists this ribosomal RNA (332 nucleotides) under uncultured bacterium. RNAcentral describes it as "partial 16S ribosomal RNA". It matches the Rfam family "Bacterial small subunit ribosomal RNA", at positions 338 to 667 of the family's 1533-position model. The record is from RNAcentral.